This 1090-nucleotide ribosomal RNA is filed under the name Clostridioides difficile. RNAcentral describes it as "partial 23S ribosomal RNA". It matches the Rfam family "Bacterial large subunit ribosomal RNA", at positions 683 to 1791 of the family's 2925-position model. Lineage: Bacteria; Bacillati; Bacillota; Clostridia; Peptostreptococcales; Peptostreptococcaceae. The record is from RNAcentral.
UUUAACUGAGCGUUCAGUUACUUGACGUAGACCCGAAACCGGGCGACCUACCCAUGAGCAGGAUGAAGCGAAAGUAAAAUUUCGUGGAGGUCCGAACCCACGAGCGUUGAAAAGCUCGGGGAUGACUUGUGGGUAGCGGUGAAAUUCCAAUCGAGCCCGGAGAUAGCUGGUUCUCCCCGAAAUAGCUUUAGGGCUAGCCUCAAGGUGAGAGAUACGGAGGUAGAGCACUGAAUGUCCUAGGGGGUAUUGCACCUACCGAAGACUAUCAAACUCCGAAUGCCGUCAUCUUAUACUUGGGAGUCAGACUGUGGGUGAUAAGAUUCAUAGUCGAAAGGGCAACAGCCCAGAUCGUCAGCUAAGGUCCCUAAAUGUAAGUUAAGUGGUAAAGGAUGUGGGAUUGCACAGACAACCAGGAUGUUGGCUUAGAAGCAGCCACUCAUUCAAAGAGUGCGUAAUAGCUCACUGGUCGAGUGAUCCUGCGCCGAAGAUUUCCGGGGCUAAAACUUACUACCGAAGCUACGGCAUCAGUAAUGAUGGGUAGGGGAGCUUCCCAUACGGGUUGAAGCAUGACCGUAAGGACAUGUGGACAGUAUGGGAGUGAGAAUGUUGGCAUGAGUAGCGAGAUGUGGGUGAGAAUCCCACAGGCCGUAAACCCAAGGUUUCCAGGGGAAGGUUCGUCCGCCCUGGGUUAGUCGGGACCUAAGCUGAGGCCGAAAGGCGUAGGUGAUGGACAACAGGUUGAUAUUCCUGUACUACCGAUAACCGUUUGAGAGAAGGGAUGACACAGUAGGAUAAGCUAAGCACACUGUUGGUUAUGUGUGCCCAAGCAUUGAGGCAGUCAAAGUAGGCAAAUCCGCUUUGAUAAUGCUGGGAUGUGAUGGGGAGCGAAAUUUAGUAGCGAAGUAGCUGAUUUCACACUGUCAAGAAAAGUCUCUAUCGAGGUUAAAGGUACCCGUACCGCAAACCGACACAGGUGGGUGAGGAGAGUAUCCUAAGGCCAGCGAGAGAACUGUUGUUAAGGAACUCGGCAAAAUGACCCCGUAACUUAGGGAUAAGGGGUGCCACCAUCAGGUGGCCGCAGAGAAUAGGC